Myotis daubentonii (Daubenton's bat) is the source of this 1386-nucleotide long non-coding RNA. RefSeq lists it as uncharacterized. NCBI's taxonomy places the organism in Eukaryota, Metazoa, Chordata, Mammalia, Chiroptera, Vespertilionidae. The record is from RefSeq and is a predicted model, not a curated record. The transcript is spliced from 3 exons.
GCCUCCGAACCACGUGGUCCGGCGCGCCUAUGGUGGUAUUUCCACUGCCCCUCCCCGAGGCAUUUGUCACUUGUCAGUAAUGGUCCUUGUGUAAUUGUUGGGUUGUCAUUUGAGUUUCACUGUAGCGUACGCCCCGCGAGAGCAGAGAACAUGCUUGCUAACUGGUCUGUGUAACAGAGGUUCUCAAAGUGUGGCACCCCAUCGGCAACUGCAGCAUCGCCGAGACGUUUGUUGGAAAGGCAGUUUCUUGGUCUCUUCCCAGCCUUGAUGGGUCAGAAACUGGCCGUAGGGUCCGCGAUCCGUGUGUUACAAGCCCCCAAGUGAUUCUAACACUGGUGCUCAGGUCUGAGAACCACUGCUCACUGAACACAGUGCCAGACACAGGAACUCAGUCACUAUUUUGAGGGAUUUUAUGUGUCUUCGUCCUGUACUGGCCCGAUGACUUAACCUUUUCUUUUGAAAUUUGGAGUGUAAUGCAGAAAAGUGCACCAACCCCAAGUGUGACGCUGGAUGAAUUAUCCCCCGAAGAUAGCCAGCCACCAUCCAACUCAGGACAUAGUGACUCACUCAGUUUUGAAUCUCCAAAAACGUACAGUGCCUGCUACUUGGAGAUGCUCAGUUUUUAUUGAAAGGAUGAAAUGGCAGUUGCCUGGGGGAGUCCCUGCGGGCCCAGGUCCAGUGGGUUCCGAGUUAGAAGGAUGUCUUGAGAGGAGAGGGAAGGUCCCUUUGUUCCUGGUACUAAAAGGCUGGGGUCCACUUAGUAUGAGUGUUGCUGUUUUGAUGCAGGUGGUUUCACUCAUGACGAGCUGCUGCAGGUGUGGAAAGGACUGUUUUAUUGCAUGUGGAUGCAGGACAAGCCGCUCCUCCAGGAGGAACUAGGAAGGACCAUCUCCCAGCUUGUCCAUGCUUUUCAAACCACAGAGGCACAGUCUCACUGCAUUGGAGUCAUUAGUGGAGGAGAAUAUCUACCUUCUGUACUUUUACCUCCUCAGAACCUGCAGAAGAGUCUGCUCAGCAAAAGGCAAAGUAUGGAGUGUUCACCUAGUGACGCUGGAAGGAGUCAGUGAACGCAGGCCCCUCCACUGCUGAACCAUCUGAUCGGCUCUUUGCUGUUGGGGAAGCCUUAACGGGAGAAAAGAGAUGCCCUUUGUGUCCUGAUGUCAGGGUGUGGGCAGGGCUGGUUUCUCCGGAGGCCUCUUUCUUCGGCAUGAAGACGCUGUCUUCUCCCUGUGUCCUCACGUGAUUGCCCCUCUGUGUCUGUGUCCUGAUCGCAUCUUGUAAGGACACAGUCUGAUUGGAUGAAGUCCCACACAGUGACCUUGUUGUAUCUUAACUACCUCUUUAAAGACCACAUCUAUAAUAAUAAUCUAUAAUAAUAAAAGCUUA